RNAcentral lists this ribosomal RNA (527 nucleotides) under uncultured bacterium. Its description in RNAcentral is "bacterial SSU rRNA". It matches the Rfam family "Bacterial small subunit ribosomal RNA", at positions 777 to 1302 of the family's 1533-position model. The record is from RNAcentral.
AAUAGAUACCCAGGUAGUCUACGCCGUAAACGAUGAGUGCUAAGUGUUAGAGGGUUUCCGCCCUUUAGUGCUGCAGCUAACGCAUUAAGCACUCCGCCUGGGGAGUACGGCCGCAAGGCUGAAACUCAAAGGAAUUGACGGGGGCCCGCACAAGCGGUGGAGCAUGUGGUUUAAUUCGAAGCAACGCGAAGAACCUUACCAGGUCUUGACAUCCUCUGCCAACCCUAGAGAUAGGGCGUUCCCCUUCAGGGGACAGAGUGACAGGUGGUGCAUGGUUGUCGUCAGCUCGUGUCGUGAGAUGUUGGGUUAAGUCCCGCAACGAGCGCAACCCUUGAUCUUAGUUGCCAGCAUUCAGUUGGGCACUCUAAGGUGACUGCCGGUGACAAACCGGAGGAAGGUGGGGAUGACGUCAAAUCAUCAUGCCCCUUAUGACCUGGGCUACACACGUGCUACAAUGGAUGGUACAAAGAGCAGCGAACCCGCGAGGGUAAGCCAAUCUCAUAAAGCCAUUCUCAGUUCGGAUUGGU